Molecule: ribosomal RNA, 512 nt
Filed under: uncultured Capnocytophaga sp.
Lineage: Bacteria; Pseudomonadati; Bacteroidota; Flavobacteriia; Flavobacteriales; Flavobacteriaceae
Description: partial 16S ribosomal RNA
Rfam family: Bacterial small subunit ribosomal RNA
Source: RNAcentral
GCACCCAAUGUUUUUCAAAAAACUAUGACGCGUUAAAUUUAGUCAGAGGGCGAUCAGUCACACUGGAACUGAGACACACCCCACACUUCCUAUCGGAGGGAGCAGUAGGGAAUAUUGUUUCAAAGGGGGGGAACCCUGAAAAAGCACAGCCGCGUGGAGGAUGACACUUUUUGGAGCGUAAACUCCUUUUCUCUGGGAACAGUUAUGUGGGUACCCAAGGAAUAAGCACCGGCUAACUCCGUGCCAGCACCCGCGGUAAUACGGAGGGUGCAAGCGUUACUCGGAAUCACUGGGCGUAAAGGACGCGUAGGCGGAUUAUCCAGUCCCCUGUGAAAUAUAACGGCUUAACCGUUAAAAUGCUUGGGAAAAAGAUAAUCUAGAGUAAGGGGGAGGCAGAUGGAGUUUUUGGUGUAGGGGUAAAAUCCGUAGAGAUCAAGAAGAAUACCCACAGCGAAAACGAUAUGCUGGAACUUAACUCUCGCUAAUGCGUGAAAGCGUGGGGAGCAAACAGG